CCCUUAGAUGUUCUGGGCCGCACGCGCGCUACAUUGAUACGUUCAACGAGUCCAAAACCUUGAUUGAUAGGUCUGGGUAAUCUUUUGAAGACGUAUCGUGCUAGGGAUAGAUUAUUGCAAUUAUUAAUCUUGAACGAGGAAUUCCUAGUAAACGCAAGUCAUCAGCUUGCACUGAUUACGUCCCUGCCCUUUGUACACACCGCCCGUCGCUACUACCGAUUGAAUGGUUUAGCAAGAUCUUCGGAUUGGCGCCUGAGCAGUUCUCUGCUCUUGGUGUCCGAGAAGAUGAUCAAACUUGAUCAUUUAGAGGAAGUAAAAGUCGUAACA
This 327-nucleotide ribosomal RNA is filed under the name uncultured eukaryote. RNAcentral's name for it is "partial 18S ribosomal RNA". It matches the Rfam family "Eukaryotic small subunit ribosomal RNA", at positions 1470 to 1796 of the family's 1831-position model. The record is from RNAcentral.